GUGAACGCUGGCGGUAGGCCUAACACCUGCAAGUCGAACGGCAGCACAGUAAGAGCUUGCUCUUACGGGUGGCGAGUGGCGGACGGGUGAGGGAUACAUCGGAAUCUACUUUUUCGUGGGGGAUAACGUAGGGAAACUUACGCUAAUACCGCAUACGACCUACGGGUGAAAGCAGGGGAUCUUCGGACCUUGCGCGAUUGAAUGAGCCGAUGUCGGAUUAGCUAGUUGGCGGGGUAAAGGCCCACCAAGGCGACGAUCCGUAGCUGGUCUGAGAGGAUGAUCAGCCACACUGGAACUGAGACACGGUCCAGACUCCUACGGGAGGCAGCAGUGGGGAAUAUUGGACAAUGGGCGCAAGCCUGAUCCAGCCAUACCGCGUGGGUGAAGAAGGCCUUCGGGUUGUAAAGCCCUUUUGUUGGGAAAGAAAAGCAGCAGGUUAAUACCCCGCUGUUCUGACGGUACCCAAAGAAUAAGCACCGGCUAACUUCGUG
Molecule: ribosomal RNA, 491 nt
Filed under: uncultured bacterium
Lineage: Bacteria
Description: partial 16S ribosomal RNA
Rfam family: Bacterial small subunit ribosomal RNA
Source: RNAcentral